AAACGUUCAAAGCUUAGUUCAGCAGCCCAACUACUCUCUUUCCUCACUUUAGCCGAAACCUAGAAAUAAAUUAGGUCCUAUUUGUUUCUUCCAAGACUUGUCAGCCGCUAUCUCCACCCUUUCUCUUCUUUUUUUCCUUUUUCAGCAAAACACCAACAUCUCUAAGCCAUGGCCAGACUUUGUAUCUCCAUUUUCAGCAUAAAAUCCAUUCCCCUGCUUCCAUUUGGCGUAUCUCAACUCUUCAGAGAUGAUCUUUCUUCUCUUAUGUCAAAGACGCAGCAAAUCACGUUUGCUUCAGUCGAGAUUUUAUCAUUUUGGAUAGAACCUGAACAAAUCAUGUGAAUCUGUCCAAACCUCCAACGGACGUGUUUCGAAUCCGAAGUUUUAAUUCCCGCUUAUGAAACCCUAGUUGUUUUCUACUAUAAAUACUGCUAAGACAUUCAGCCAAAACCGAGCCAGAAUCCACAAAAUUCAACUCAUAUCAUACUCUGCUUUUCUUUUAAUCUAAAGCUUUACAAUCAGUGGCUCAAUAUUUAGUCUUCGUUUUUAUAUUCUGGACAAAUAAGGAGUGGUAGAUUUGAAAUGACCUCGCAAGCCCAAGUUCAUUGCUCCCAAAAAGGUCAGUGUUGCUCUCUUUUCUAGUUUCAUAAACUUUAAGAUAUCGUUUAUGAAUUUGCCUGUGCCAUGAGAUUUUGUUAGCAUUCUUGCUUUUUCUGUUUUUGAUUUUUAACUUGCUUCUUGUGGAUCCUCGAUAAUUAGUUUUAAGGUGUCAUUGUGUAUUUAAUUAUUUUGCCAAGAACCAGGUUAUAAAUGAAAACUUCUAUUUUAUUAGAGAACAUGAUCCUAGGCCUAAACUUUUCUUCAUUUUGAAUAUUACUAAAAUGAAAAUAUCUGCUGUUGUAGUAUUAGGAUACCUACUCUCUUAUUUUUCUUUUAAAAGACGACUUAGGUUUGAUGAACUUAAAUGCCAUGCCUAUUAAGAUUUAAAAGCAUUUUCUUAGUUACAGAAAAUAUAAGCUAUUAUGUUUCAAUAUAAAAUAAUAAUGCGAGCCUGUAUAUUUAUGUCUAGAGAUCUUGUGAAUAGGUUUCACAUGUUUAUUAAUAUCAAUAAUCUUUAAGAGAAAUAGAGCAUGUUUUUGACUGGAGCAAGCUCCCAUUAAAUCGCAAAGCACAUUUUAGAUAGUAAUUAAACAAGUACUGUAAAUUGUUUGACGUAGAACACUGCAGUAAUUAGUUUCUGUUAGGAAAUACUAAGCCUCUUAUGUUUAUAGGGAACAUGAUGCGUAAAAGGGAAGACUUGCUAAGAGUAUGAUUUUCAAUCUUAUUAGCUGCACUGUUCCUGCUUUUUUAAGAUUUGAAACCUUUUACAAAUCAAUAUAUCAAAUUGAAGUUAGUUAAUUUAAGUUACUUCCCUGUUGGCCAAGACCAUGUAUUUCUACCAUUAUAACUAUUUGAAAGUUCUGUACCAUGCCUUCUGAGGGGUUGCUCUGAUAGUAAGCAACCCCCACUUCCAACCGAGAGAUUGUGAGUUCGAGUCUCCCCAAGAACAAGGUUGGAAGUUCUUGGAGGGAAGGAUAUCGGGUGUCUAUUUAAAAACAAACUCUCUAUCCCAAUGUAGGGGUAAGGUUUGCAUACAUACUACCCUCCCCAAACUCCAUUAAGUGAGAAUAUACUGGGUUUUGUUGUAGAUAACCAUGCCUCCAGAGUAAAAAAUGGGACAUAAUCUCCUAUUAGUGUAGAUAUUCGUGCAUUUUGUCUAUGGCUUGGUUCCCAUGUUGUUUUAUUAACUUUCAGGCAAUCUCACUUGUGAAUGUUAGUAGACUAUGCUGCAUUUUUCAUAUAUGCCUAAUUCUUUAUUUUUUUUCUUUUCUUUCUUUGCAUGUACACUUUGAAGUAAAUGGAAUCUUAAUUCGAGACUCUUGCAAUGGAGUCUCUUAGAGUUUCAACGCUACCCUACCCAAGCAUGGAGUUUUCACGUACCAAAUUCCAUAGAUGCACCAAAUAACAAGAAUACAAACGAAAUACUUGGGAGCGCCUAUAGAGUUCUUAUUCUUCUUUAUUAUUUAUUGUAUCUAAUUUUUUACUGUUGUUGAUUUAUGUGUGUUUGGUGUUUAUCUCAACUUUGGGAUUUAUUCGUCUAGUUUCUUUAUCUCGUGCUUAAUAUUAUGUCACAUAAUAUGACAGUUAGAAUAAGAAGUUUAAACUUAGUAACUUUUCACCUAGUUGUCACUUGCGUGUCUAUUUUUCCAAGUAAGUAAGCUACUGUACUCCUAACACUCUUUCAAGUAAGGUCAAAGUGAUACUUUUGAGAGCUUGUCAAAUUUGUUUCCAAUAUUGUUAAGUUGGAGUUUUUCUCAUAAAUGAUGCAACG
This 2371-nucleotide long non-coding RNA is filed under the name Nicotiana benthamiana. Its description in RNAcentral is "long non-coding RNA (NBEN_LNC020702)". The record is from RNAcentral. Lineage: Eukaryota; Viridiplantae; Streptophyta; Magnoliopsida; Solanales; Solanaceae.